Molecule: non-coding RNA, 76 nt
Organism: Drosophila virilis
Lineage: Eukaryota; Metazoa; Arthropoda; Insecta; Diptera; Drosophilidae
Source: Rfam
GGCCCCUUGUAUGAUGAACGAUUUUGGCAGAAGAGCUCUUGAAGACUAUAUUCAUCACCCAAGACUGAAGAAACUG